UACGGAGGGUGCAAGCGUUAAUCGGAAUUACUGGGCGUAAAGAGUGCGUAGGUGGUUGAAUAAGUUAUCUGUGAAAUCCCUGGGCUUAACCUGGGCAGGUCAGAUGAUACUGUUUAACUCGAGUAUGGGAGAGGGUAGUGGAAUUUCCGGUGUAGCGGUGAAAUGCGUAGAGAUCGGAAGGAACACCAGUGGCGAAGGCGGCUACCUGGCCUAAUACUGACACUGAGGCACGAAAGCGUGGGGAGCAAACAGG
This 253-nucleotide ribosomal RNA is filed under the name uncultured bacterium. RNAcentral describes it as "partial 16S ribosomal RNA". It matches the Rfam family "Bacterial small subunit ribosomal RNA", at positions 524 to 776 of the family's 1533-position model. The record is from RNAcentral.